This 1038-nucleotide long non-coding RNA is filed under the name Amphimedon queenslandica. RNAcentral's name for it is "uncharacterized LOC109584715, transcript variant X2". The record is from RNAcentral. Lineage: Eukaryota; Metazoa; Porifera; Demospongiae; Haplosclerida; Niphatidae.
ACCCCCCACCCCCUGGGUGAAAAACCACCUCUUGUAAUAAUAACUGACACUUCCCAUAACCCAAGGGUGAUCUCUCAAAAGAGGAACUAUAUACUGUACUAGUACAUUAGUAGUAUAGUAUAAGAUGUGAUUGUAAUUGUUUUUCCAUUAAUAAAUGAUUCCUAUAAUAUACUACAUGUAUGUGUUUUACCAGUAAAACAGUAUGCAGUAUAGUACAGUAUUUCCAUUACAUGUAUGGAUGUACAGUUACUUUAUAGUACAUGGCCAGAGGCGUCGCUGCCUAAGGGGCAGGUAGGGCAAUUGCCCCACCAAUAUUUUGAAGAUCAGUAGCCAUUUUUAUUAAAAUUAGUUAUUAAUUCAUUUAAUAACUAUCCAGGAAAGACUCAAUCACUGCUUACUUCUUCACACACACCAACAACUGACUCAUAAUGUAGAAAUACAGUCGGUAGUUAAGCAAUUUAUUGCUGGACAGUCGCGACGCCAACGGUAAGCUCACGUGAAUUUUAUUUUCCAAGUGACGUCAUAAUGGCUGCCAAGUGAUGGCUAAAGCUGUGUUUAGUUUUGUGCAGUUUACAAGAUGGUGGGCAGUCUAUAGCUCUAAGAAGCAAACUCAAACUUGAAGCAAAAAGGUAUAUAAUAGUACUGGGACUGGCCAGAACAGCUCAGAAUUAGAUUCCACACUCAGGAUCAUUAAUCAAGUCAUUUUACCUCAAUAGAAUUGUUUGAAAUCCUUUUAGAGCUAGAUUUUAUACUUGUCAUUAUAGUCAUAUUGUGUGCCAUUGACUUUCAGAGACCACAGCAUCCUUAUUUCUUGCUGGAACAACUUUAAACUUCUGGAGUAUAUUCUUCUAGCUACUAUCUUGUUGUAAGCAAAUGGACAAGAAGCUGGAAUUGUCUAGAACACUGUAUGCAUCCGGUAAAGUCAAGGACAUCAGUUGCUUGCAGUUCUGUUAUAGUUUAUUUAAACUGGUUGAUGUUUUUUUAUGGUGAUAAAUAUGUAUGUUCUGUGUAUUGUAUGCAAAUUUCAUAGUAAAACUA